This 1552-nucleotide long non-coding RNA is filed under the name Lactuca sativa (garden lettuce). RNAcentral's name for it is "long non-coding RNA (LSAT_LNC010132)". The record is from RNAcentral. Lineage: Eukaryota; Viridiplantae; Streptophyta; Magnoliopsida; Asterales; Asteraceae.
AAUUGCACAUUAACAUGGCCAAGCUUGCAUCUUUCUUCUUAGUUUUCAUUGUUGUAAUCUCAGGUUUGUGUUCUCGAUCAGUAUAUGUUUAGCUUCCAAAAUUUUAUUUUAAAAUUAAAAUAUUUUUUUUGGAACGGUAUUAUUUUAAUUUUAAAAUACAUGAAGUUUAUUUGUAACUGGGAACAAGCAUUCGAUAAUAUUUUGUUAAUUGAUUGCAAACAUGUCCAAUCUCUUGCUGGAGAAUUUUUCAUACAAGGACUUCUAUUUUUAUUUAUUAAGAUAGCCAUAUAUGUAAUAUCUAUUACUUUAUGGUUCGUAUUAAAAUUUAACGUGUUUAUUUUAUUUUAUUUUUCAUUUUUCAGUUGGAGCUUCCACUGUGAAUGGACAGCAUAGAUGUACAGAGGUGUUGGAUCCAAAUGCUUGUACUCUUGGUGAUUGUCGUGAGCAAUGUUAUCAAAAACACAAGGGCAAUGGAAUUUGCGAGCUCUCAAGUGAUAUGAGCCAUUAUGGUUGUAUUUGUAUUUUCGACUGCUGAUGAAAUCUUAAGACAAUGAUAUUACUUUGGGGUUGAAAAGUAGUAACCCAAAGGAUCAUUAGUGCUCUAGAACAGAAAAACUACAAUUCCAUUAAAGAACGUUUUUGAAGUUUUGUAUCAUUCUAAAUACAUAAUCAAUGAAAUAUUCAUUUCAGAUUGUUAUCUAUAACGGAUUAGUAAAAAAUACUAACACAUUAUUUUCUUAUUCUAUGACUAUAUAACGGAUUAAAGAUUUCACUCAUCGAAACACUUUUAACUUUUGAUAAUGAAUGAACCUUCCAAAAAACUUUUGGGUUAACUACUACAUUUUACCAAUUCAAUCAAACAACUUAAUUUGAGACAUUUUUUCAAGGUUGUCAUUAAUAUUUACGACUAUGUGAUAUCAUGUAUAACCAUUUACACUCACCUACAGGGAUUUCUCGAUAGUAUUAUCUAAAUUAUUUGGAUUGUUCUUAAUUGAGUAUGAACUCCUAAGUUUUUGUUUGUGUUAAUAAAUGUCAUAUGUACGCACCUUUAUGCCAACCAUCAGAAAAUUAACUUUUUUUUGGUUAUUUGGAACCGUAGAGAAUUUAUUAAGGCCAAGCUUAGCAAGUCGCCAAGCAAGGCACCAACCAAAAGAGACAAUUUUGAGAGUACAGAGAUUAAGGGAAAAUACGACAUCAAAACAAAAUAUAAAUUACAAAAUGUACGCCGAUUUACACUUCUCUAAUGCAUAAUAUGUUUGGCAAUUGUGUGGAGAAGGAAGAUGUACCUUGCUAAAUUUCAUUCCUGAAGUUGGUAUCAUCACCGUUUCCUAGAAUCACAAAAAAUAAAGUUAUCUGGGACGAAUCCCAUCAUCUCAAGUUCCGAGUUUGCCUUUACAAUGUUGUUCCAUACGCCGUUUAAUGAUCUUUUUAACAGCAAUUUUAAUGGCUUUCUAUGUAGGUUGUGUAUGCUUGUAAUAAUGUUAUUCCCUGUAGAUUUUUUUAACAUCCUUUGGUCUCCAAAUUCAUUUGACUAAUAGUGCAAUGUUGAGUG